This 55-nucleotide ribosomal RNA is filed under the name uncultured bacterium. RNAcentral describes it as "partial 16S ribosomal RNA". The record is from RNAcentral.
ACCGUAGACCGUAACCGGCAAGGGGCGGUACCACGGUAGGAUCGUGACUGGGGUG